GGCUGCUUGAGAUAGAUAUGAAUUCUUAGAAGCAAAAAGGAAUGUUUUUGUUUCUUUGGUGUGUGUGUGUGUGUGUGUGUGUGUUUGAGAGAAAGGGGGGAUGGGGUGGGUGAGGGAGAGGGAGAAUCUUAAGCAGGCUCCAUACCCAGCACCCAGCCUGAUGUGGGGAUCGAUUUCAUGACUAUGAGAUCAUGACCUGAGCCAAAACCAAGAGUCAGAAGCUUCACUGACUGAGCCACCCAGGCACCCAAAAAAGGAGUGUUAGAAGGAGUGAACGGUACAGAGAAUUAAAUGCUGCUAAGGUUAUUUUUAAUGUCAACAUUCAAUAACUAAUUAUGGAAUGGUAAAUAACUUUAUCUGGUUUUGAAACAUUAAAUGGUAUUUCUGCCUUCUUAAUUAUUAAGCUGAUGAAAAUACUAUAUGUUGAAUUAGGACCUGAUUUACCAAAUACAGUUUUUUUAAACAUUGAAGAGAAAGACGUGGUUUCUUUUAGAAAGUUUCUGUUUUAAAAUACAGUCUGGAGAUACAUAAAGAAGGGAGAAGCACUGGCAGAUGCUGAACAUAAUGGCCCUCGUCUCGUAACAGACAAGAAGUGUAAGCUCCCUUAACAGGCUGUUAUUUGGGAACUAACCAACAGACACUGUGUGAGGCUCUUCUACAAGCUGAAUAUCUGAAGAUGUUAAAACCUCCCUGUGGGAUUGGCCUUCUUUUUUCUUAAUUUUGAGAUGGAAAAACACUGUUUUGAAUUUCUUCUUCGCUCCAGUUGGCCAGCUUGGUUGAAAAAAGGAGCGAUGUUUCCAGCCUCAUGGAUGAUCCAAGGAAGUUAUCCGCAGCUUUCAGGAAGAAGCUGGAGCCAGUGGAAAUGUUACAACCCUGAAAGGGGAAUAAUGGAACAGGACUGAAGCUUUUAGGAUUAUAGCACUACCUCCCAUACAACUGAAAGGAAAUGGAUAACUAUGUGUGGAAACAGAGUGUUCAAUUUUGUGAUGUUUCUGACAGAGGCAGUGGUGACCAGUGUGCUCCAGACCUUGUCCUUUGUGCUGCUGCCUCUGGGCCAUGGAGUCCCAGCAAACACCUCAUACAGGUCUGCUUGCUUUGGAUUGCUUCUUCACAAAGGGGGAAGUGUGUUUCUCCCCUUCUCAUUUACCUUUUCCAAUGUUUCAUUUCACUAAUCUCUCUUCUUUUCUUAACAGCUUUACUUCCUUCAUUGUUGUUUUUUUCUUUAAUUUUACUUUAUUUCUAAUUGCCUCAUCUUGAAUGAGCUUCCAGUGUCUAAAAUUAGAAUUCUUCAGAAUCCUAAGAAGAUCUAAGGAGACAUUAAAUGUGUUCCAUUUUCCAAAAGACAAAUCUGGAACAUUUAAAUUGUUUACUAAAGGUCAUAUAAUACUAGGAUUCAAAGUUCUUUACCAUUGGGACAUUUUAUCUAAGGAAUAAUUGGGAUUAUAUACAUCACACUACCUUUCAAUCAGAAAUUUAUCAAGGAAAACCUGCCUUAUAGUAUGACCUUUGGCUUUUAUAAUUCAGAUUGAAAGAAUGCUUGCUCAUUUUGCCACUGAGCACAUUAGCAUCCUGUAUCUUCACAAGGUUAAUUUAAUGGACUGCUAUGCAUAUUGAUGAAUACUUCUGUGUUUUCUCAAAGUCACCAAAUUAGAAUUUCUGAAUGUUCAUUAGCCACAUAUGCAAUAGGAGUAGUCUAAAGUCAAUGAAUUUCUGUUAUGCCCUUUCUAAAACUGAUAUUAAAAUUGCAUAUGCAAAUUUAAGUUCAAAUUGUUGUGAUAAAAGUAGACAUGUAAGUAAAAAAAACUCAUUAUUUUCAUUUUUCAAAGUUACUAAGUUCAUUAGUGGUUAUUUAUUGGGUUAAGACAUUGAAUCAGAAAAUGGGCCUCUGUCUUUCUCUGAGUAUUCAAGUUUAGAAAUGCCUUACUUAAAAUGCAAGAAAUUUCCAGUAAGUUUCCAGGCUGCAGAGAUACAUUAUUUAUGUUAACAAACUGGAAAGAGUUCAUUUGCUUUAAUAUUUAUAAGGGAGAUCAAUGAGACAUACAAUGCAGUAUUACUAAGCUCUAAAACCACUACAAAACAUAGAUUCAAUUAAUGUAAUGUUAACCAAAGAAUACACUCAGCAAUUCAUAAAUAAAUAAUUAUAAUAAAUGUCCA
RNAcentral lists this long non-coding RNA (2154 nucleotides) under Felis catus (domestic cat). RNAcentral's name for it is "lncRNA (ENSFCAG00000044061.2)". Lineage: Eukaryota; Metazoa; Chordata; Mammalia; Carnivora; Felidae. The record is from RNAcentral.